UAUAUGUACAUACAUGAUACAUCAGUAUAUAGUUAGUAUAUAGCAGUAAACAUGGCAGCUAGAGUGAGGGUUUCUUUACUGGUUCUCAUGAGCCUUGUCACUUACAUGUCUAACACCGCAGAAUCCUCUAUAACCCCGGCAGAGUUUAUCAAGUCUUCGUGUAGGGCUACUCGCUACCCUAUUUUAUGUGUUCGAUGCCUCAUGGGGUAUGCGAGCGUGAUUGGCCUAAGUGAGCGACAACUAGCCAUGACUGCUCUAUCAGUGAGCAUAUCCAGGACACGAUCGAGUGCAUCAUUUGUGAAGAAGAUAUCAAAAGCAAGAGGCAUCAAACCAAGGGAGUACAUAGCCAUUCAAGACUGCAUAGAAAACAUGGGUGACAGUUUGGACAGUCUUAGCCAAUCGGUUAGGGAGUUAGGCAGUAUUGGUCAUGCUGUUGGAGAGGAUUUCGUUUGGCACAUGAGCAACGUGCAAACUUGGGUCAGUGCUGCCGUUACUGAUGAUAACACUUGUCUUGAUGGCUUUUCUGGUCCUUCCAUGAAGGGAAAUGUCAAGGCUGCCAUCAAGAAUAGAGUUGUCAAUGUUACUCAAAUUACAAGCAACGCACUCGCUUUGGUCAAUCGCUUUGCCUCGAUUCAUCGAACUGUUGAAACUCCUUAAAUUGAUCGAUAUGAAUGAUUUCUUACCACUUCCUCGUGGAGUAAUCUUCAAACCCACCGAUGAACAACUUAUUGAGCACUACGUACCUUAAGAAUAAAAUUGCUUCUGAAAAGAUGGAUUUUGAUUUCAUAGAUCUUGAUCUCAAUGAAAUUGAGCCAUGGGAUAUACCAGAAUUAUGCAAUAUAGGAUUUGGUGAUAGACAAAUAGGAUGGUAUUUUUUCGGUCGAAAAGACAAGUUUUCAGUUAGUAGGAAUCAUACAUAUAUAACUACAAAAGCAGGAUACUGGAGAGCAGAAGGAACUGGCUGUGCAAUCUACUCUGAUGAUGAGAAUGACCAUAAUAGUCUCAUUGGAAUGAAAAAGCCUCUAGCCUUCUUUCAAGGAAGGGAACCUAAUGGACUAUUAAGUCAAUGGUUCAUGUUUGAGUACCGCUUAGAAACUAAUGAAGAUGAAAGUGGCACUCUUCUUCAGGCUCAGGAAGAAAGUUGGGUUUUAUAUAAAAUGUUCAAGGAACCAUUAUUGCAAAAAUUACUAUUGCUCGAGAAUCAACUUAGGCCAUUGCUCAAGGGUUUACCGGCUGCAACAGUGGAGGAGAGCAAUCAAAGGAUUGGCCAGUACUAGACAAAUUUUUUGUUGUUAGAAAAUUUCAAACCAUGAAUUUCUAAGAGAGAUUAACAAAUUAUACAUGAAUUCAUUAUAUUGAUUUCCUUUAAUGC
Molecule: RNA transcript, 1372 nt
Organism: Trifolium pratense (red clover)
Lineage: Eukaryota; Viridiplantae; Streptophyta; Magnoliopsida; Fabales; Fabaceae
Gene name: 21 kDa protein-like
Exons: 4
Source: RefSeq, a predicted model, not a curated record